GGAGAGGUGUCCGAGUGGUUGAUGGUGCCGCUCUCGAAAAGCGGUGUAGUGACGAGCUACCGCGGGUUCGAAUCCCGCCCUCUCCG
This 86-nucleotide transfer RNA is filed under the name Candidatus Saccharimonadota bacterium. RNAcentral's name for it is "tRNA-Ser". It matches the Rfam family "tRNA". Rfam says of the family: Transfer RNA (tRNA) molecules are approximately 80 nucleotides in length. Their secondary structure includes four short double-helical elements and three loops (D, anti-codon, and T loops). Lineage: Bacteria; Candidatus Saccharimonadota. RNAcentral also lists the same sequence under 1 other name. The record is from RNAcentral.